This 472-nucleotide ribosomal RNA is filed under the name uncultured bacterium. Its description in RNAcentral is "bacterial SSU rRNA". It matches the Rfam family "Bacterial small subunit ribosomal RNA", at positions 28 to 507 of the family's 1533-position model. The record is from RNAcentral.
GACGAACGCUGGCGGCGUGCCUAACACAUGCAAGUCGAGCGUGGUUGAAGCGAGGGGUAACUCGAGUUUCUACCUAGCGGCGGACGGGUGAGUAACGCGUGGGCAACCUGCCUCAAGGACUGGGAUAACAGCUCGAAAGGGCUGCUAAUACCGGAUAAGCCUAUGGCCUCGCAUGGGGCCAUGAGCAAAGGGGAAACCCGCCUUGAGAUGGGCCCGCGUCCCAUCAGCUAGUUGGUGAGGUGAAGGCUCACCAAGGCGACGACGGGUAGCCGGCCUGAGAGGGUGACCGGCCACACUGGGACUGAGACACGGCCCAGACUCCUACGGGGGGCAGCAGUGGGGAAUCUUGCACAAUGGGCGAAAGCCUGAUGCAGCGACGCCGCGUGAGCGAAGAAGGCCUCGGUUGUAAAGCUCUGUCUGAGGGACGAAGGAAGUGACGGUACCUCCGGAGGAAGCCACGGCUAACUACGUG